Molecule: ribosomal RNA, 446 nt
Filed under: uncultured bacterium
Lineage: Bacteria
Description: bacterial SSU rRNA
Rfam family: Bacterial small subunit ribosomal RNA
Source: RNAcentral
UCCAGACUCCUACGGGAGGCAGCAGUGGGGGAUAUUGCACAAUGGGGGGAACCCUGAUGCAGCGACGCCGCGUGGGUGAAGGAGUGCUUCGGCAUGUAAAGCCCUAUCGGCAGGGAAGAAGCAAGACGGUACCUGACUAAGAAGCCCCGGCUAACUACGUGCCAGCAGCCGCGGUAAUACGUAGGGGGCAAGCGUUAUCCGGAUUUACUGGGUGUAAAGGGGGCGCAGACGGCGAUGCAAGCCAGGAGUGAAAGUCCGGGGCCCAACCCCGGGACUGCUCUUGGAACUGCGUGGCUGGAGUGCAGGAGGGGCAGGCGGAAUUCCUGGUGUAGCGGUGAAAUGCGUAGAUAUCAGGAGGAACACCGGUGGCGAAGGCGGCCUGCUGGACUGCAACUGACGUUGAGGCCCGAAAGCGUGGGGAGCGAACAGGAUUAGAUACCCGGGUA